UACGUAGGUGGCAAGCGUUAUCCGGAAUUAUUGGGCGUAAAGCGCGCGCAGGCGGUUUCUUAAGUCUGAUGUGAAAGCCCACGACUCAACCGUGGAGGGUCAUUGGAAACUGGGGAACUUGAGUGCAGAAGAGAAAAGCGGAAUUCCACGUGUAGCGGUGAAAUGCGUAGAGAUGUGGAGGAACACCAGUGGCGAAGGCGGCUUUUUGGUCUGUAACUGACGCUGAAGCGCGAAAGCGUGGGGAGCAAACAGG
Molecule: ribosomal RNA, 253 nt
Filed under: uncultured bacterium
Lineage: Bacteria
Description: partial 16S ribosomal RNA
Rfam family: Bacterial small subunit ribosomal RNA
Source: RNAcentral